CCAGCACCUGCGGUAAUUCCAGCUCCAAUAGCGUAUAUUAAAGUUGCUGCAGUUAAAAAGCUCGUAGUUGGAUUUGUGGCGCGGUCGUCCGGCGGGGCUUCCGGUUUCAUAGUAUCCCGGGGCCGUUUGUCUGGGUUCUUGGCCGCCCCAUUCUUCGGUUGCGUGUCGCUGGCAUUAGGUUGUCGGUUUCUUCGCGCCGAUCGUUUACUGUGAAAAAAUUAGAGUGUUCAAAGCAGGCUUAGGCCGUUGAAUACAUUAGCAUGGAAUAAUGAGAUAGGGCCACGGCGGUCUAUUUUGUUGGUUUGCACGUUGUGGUAAUGAUUAACAGGAACGGUUGGGGGUAUUCGUAUUCAAUUGUCAGAGGUGAAAUUCUUGGAUUUAUGGAAGACGAACUACUGCGAAAGCAUUUACCAAGGAUGUUUUCAUUGAUCAAGAACGAAAGU
Molecule: ribosomal RNA, 443 nt
Filed under: uncultured eukaryote
Lineage: Eukaryota
Description: SSU rRNA
Rfam family: Eukaryotic small subunit ribosomal RNA
Source: RNAcentral